GACGAACGCUGGCGGCGCGCUUAACACAUGCAAGUCGAACGUGAAGCCCGGGCUUGCCCGGGUGGAAAGUGGCGAACGGGUGCGUAACACGUGAGCAACCUGCCCCGAAGACCGGGACGUAACACCGGGAAACCGGGUAGCUAAUACCGGAUGCCCUCAUCAUGUCGCAUGGCGAGAUGAGGAAAUGGAUUCCGCUUCGGGAGUGGGCGUCGCGGCCUAUCAGCUUGUUGGUGAGGUAACGGCUCACCAAGGCUACGACGGGUAGGCUGGUCUGAGAGGAUGUCCAGCCACACUGGGAC
This 299-nucleotide ribosomal RNA is filed under the name uncultured bacterium. Its description in RNAcentral is "partial 16S ribosomal RNA". It matches the Rfam family "Bacterial small subunit ribosomal RNA", at positions 28 to 319 of the family's 1533-position model. The record is from RNAcentral.